This 2201-nucleotide small RNA is filed under the name Pan troglodytes (chimpanzee). RNAcentral's name for it is "retained intron". Lineage: Eukaryota; Metazoa; Chordata; Mammalia; Primates; Hominidae. The record is from RNAcentral.
GCUGUGUGGCCCAGGCUUUUCUCAAACUCCUGAGGGCAGGCGAUCCUCCCACCUCAGCCUCCUGAGUAGCUGGGACUACAGACAUAUGCCACUAGACCUGGCUCUAAAGACUUACAUAUGACACACGAAACCAUUUAUUUUUCAUUUCACAAUGUUUAUUCACAUAUAUGGUAUUAGUAUUCUAAUGUAGUGAUGCACUCUAAAUUUGUAUUAUAUUUCCUAGAACAUCUGAACAGAGCAUAGGAAGUUCCCUAUUUUGCCAUUAUCAGUUCUAACAAAAAUCUUAAAAGCACUUUAUCAUUUCAUUUCCCUGCACUGUAAUUUUUUUAAAUGAUCAAAAACAGUAUCAUACCAAGGCUUACUUAUAUUGGAAUACUAUUUUAGAAAGUUGUGGGCUGGGUUGUAUUUAUAAAUCUUGUUGGUCAGAUGUCUGCAAUGAGUAAAUUUAGCACCAUUAUCAGGAAGCUUUCUCACCAAUGACAACUUCAUUGGAAGAUUUUAAUGAAAGUGUAGCGUACUCUAGGGAAAAAAUAUGAAUAUUUUAGCAUCUAUGUAUUGAAAAUUAUGUUGAAUAAAUGUCAGACUAUUUUUUACAUAACGUUGCUUCUAUUUAAUUUUGUCACGUUCAGAGGUGGGGGGUAGGAGAUGUAAGCCCUUGACAGCAAAAUAAUUCCUUUUGCUUGAUUUCAGACAGUUGCAUCAGCUCCUUUGUUCUGUGUUCAUGUUACACUUAUUUAGGUGGCUGAAUCCACAGAGGAGCCUGCUGGUUCUAAUCGGGGACAGUAUCCUGAGGAUUCCUCAAGUGAUGGUUUAAGGCAAAGGGAAGUUCUUCGGAACCUUUCUUCCCCUGGAUGGGAAAACAUCUCAAGGCCUGAAGCUGCCCAGCAGGCAUUCCAAGGCCUGGGUCCUGGUUUCUCCGGUUACACACCCUAUGGGUGGCUUCAGCUUUCCUGGUUCCAGCAGAUAUAUGCACGACAGUACUACAUGCAAUAUUUAGCAGCCACUGCUGCAUCAGGGGCUUUUGUUCCACCACCAAGUGCACAAGAGAUACCUGUGGUCUCUGCACCUGCUCCAGCCCCUAUUCACAACCAGUUUCCAGCUGAAAACCAGCCUGCCAAUCAGAAUGCUGCUCCUCAAGUGGUUGUCAAUCCUGGAGCCAAUCAAAAUUUGCGGAUGAAUGCACAAGGUGGCCCUAUUGUGGAAGAAGAUGAUGAAAUAAAUCGAGAUUGGUUGGAUUGGACCUAUUCAGCAGCUACAUUUUCUGUUUUUCUCAGUAUCCUCUACUUCUACUCCUCCCUGAGCAGAUUCCUCAUGGUCAUGGGGGCCACCGUUGUUAUGUACCUGCAUCACGUUGGGUGGUUUCCAUUUAGACCGAGGCCGGUUCAGAACUUCCCAAAUGAUGGUCCUCCUCCUGACGUUGUAAAUCAGGACCCCAACAAUAACUUACAGGAAGGCACUGAUCCUGAAACUGAAGACCCCAACCACCUCCCUCCAGAUAGGGAUGUACUAGAUGGCGAGCAGACCAGCCCCUCAUUUAUGAGCACAGCAUGGCUUGUCUUCAAGACUUUCUUUGCCUCUCUUCUUCCAGAAGGCCCCCCAGCCAUCGCAAACUGAUGGUGUUUGUGCUGUAGCUGUUGGAGGCUUUGACAGGAAUGGACUGGAUCACCUGACUCCAGCUAGAUUGCCUCUCCUGGACAUGGCAAUGAUGAGUUUUUAAAAAACAGUGUGGAUGAUGAUAUGCUUUUGUGAGCAAGCAAAAGCAGAAACGUGAAGCCGUGAUACAAAUUGGUGAACAAAAAAUGCCCAAGGCUUCUCAUGUCUUUAUUCUGAAGAGCUUUAAUAUAUACUGUAUGUAGUUUAAUAAGCACUGUAAGUAGAAGGCCUUAGGUGUUGCAUGUCUAUGCUUGAGGAACUUUUCCAAAUGUGUGUGUCUGCAUGUGUGUUUGUACAUAGAAGUCAUAGAUGCAGAAGUGGUUCUGCUGGUACGAUUUGAUUCCUGUUGGAAUGUUUAAAUUACACUAAGUGUACUACUUUAUAUAAUCAAUGAAAUUGCUAGACAUGUUUUAGCAGGACUUUUCUAGGAAAGACUUAUGUAUAAUUGCUUUUUAAAAUGCAGUGCUUUACUUUAAACUAAGGGGAACUUUGCGGAGGUGAAAACCUUUGCUGGGUUUUCUGUUCAAUAAAGUUUUACUAUGAAUGAC